UGCCUCGUAAUUGUUUGUUUAAUCUCAAAAAGUGUCAUUUUUCAGCUCUGUAGCCCCGGGGACAGACAAGAAGGGCCUCGGGAAGAAGCAGAAGAACCAAAUGAGCAUCCAAGCCAGAUCUGCUCAAAGUGGGGGUCCCAAACCAGCAGUGGUAGAGUAGAAGACUGCUGCUCCAUCCCAUCUCAGACUCUGAGGAUCACACCCUCUGGAGGCAGAGACUGAGGCUAGCACUCUGCAUCUUCAAGAAGCUCCCUCAAAAGAUUCUCACACCCAGUGAAACUUGAGAAUCUCUGAUCUAGACCCGUGCUUGGCCCAGAUCCUUACCAGGCCAGCCUCAGUGGGAUCAGAUACUCAGCUGCUACCUGCUUAUCCACAACCAGGAAGAUUAUUUCCCAAACUGUUUCAUGUCAGGACAAAGUAACGUUUGGGGGCUCUCUGGAGUAAACAAAGCUGCUCAGAGCUGAAGGUAAAAGUAAAAGGCCCAGGAGCUGAGAGGCCCUGGGCUCCACCCAGCUGAGGAAGUCAACACCUCAGCAUAUCUGGAGCUCACUCCUGACACUGGCUCAGGAAGCUCUGCUAAGAGCUACCAGCAGGCACAGGCGGCCAGGCCCAGCUGUCCGGCACUCACGUGGGUGCUGGCUCUGACAAGCUCCGAUGAAGCCCUGGGGAGUGAUGGCCAUGGUCAGCCACAGCUCAGACAGCAGUGUGGACCUCCACAGCUCAGGACCAUCCCCACUGCAGGAGAUUAACUCAGGGUCUCCCGGCCCUGGGCAGCACACAUAGGGGAAGAAAAGUGAGAGCUCCACGUGUCCCCUACUGGACUCAAGACUUGUGCUCUCCAAGUAUCUGAACCUUCAAAGUUUAGCUGUGCACAUAGACAUCCAGAGUAAAGACGUCUGCCACCCUCCCUUGUGAUUACAUGUGGCCAUGAACGUGUGAGAAGUGAUGUCUACACCUUCCAGUUCUAGUCCUUAAAAGGAAGGGGACCCUCUUCUCCCUUCUGCUUCUGCUAGAUGUGGACCUAAGGACGUAACCAGGAAUGCUCUGGGAUCAUGAGGGCUGAACUCCCAACCCUGAGAUCAAGACCUAAGCUGAGAUCAAGAGCCGAUGCUUAACUGACUGAGCCACCAAGACACCCCUAUUUUCUCACACUUCCACAGGCUGGAAGUCCAAGAUCAAAGUAUCAAGCAGGGUUGCUUUCUUUGAAGGUUGCUCUCCUGGCCUUAUAGAUGGCCAUAUUCUUUUGGUGUUUUCACAUGGUCUUCUGUUUAUACACGUCUAGAUCCAAAUCUCUUCCUUUGAGCACACCAGUCAUACUGGAUUAGGACCCACCCUGAAGACUUCAUUUUAACUUAAUUACCUCUUUAAGGUCAUUCUGAGACACAAAAGGUUAUGACUUCAACAUACGAAUUUUUAGGGGACACCAUGCAGUGCAUAAUACUAACUAAUACAUUUUUCUUCCUGCCUUCUGUUUUCGCCUGAGUGAAUAUGCUAGGUAUCCAUGAGGGGGAGGAGAAAUGCUUAGAAGCACACAGUCUCCAGAACCAAAAAGUGAUUCUCCUAAGCUAGAGAGGCAAAGGGCAGGAAGCACAUCCUGCUCCCCAGGAGCUCCCCAACAGAUGACCAGGCAUGAGAUUCCUAUACGCUGAGCGUGAGCUCCAGGGACCCAGCAGAGCAGGCCUGAGGAGCCUCAGCAGCAUGGAGAACAGAUGGACAGCUGCCAACAGCACCACGGCUCUAUGUGAGACCUGGGACUUUGUAUUACCUUGACUCAGGAAGGGGCCAGGAUAACAAAGAGGCAUUUACCACCAAAUCAGCAGAAUUGAGGCCUAGAGCCCUUCUCUCUCAAGAAAAUAAACAAAUGCAUCAUUUCUUGCAUAUCUGAGUUAAUUAACUAAAAUCAGUGUAUCUGGGGGCACAUGGGUGGCUCGGUCAGUUAAGCAUCUAUCUUCAGCUCAGGUCAUGAUCUCUGGGAGCCUGCAUUGGAUUCCCUGC
Canis lupus familiaris (dog) is the source of this 1995-nucleotide long non-coding RNA. RefSeq lists it as uncharacterized. Lineage: Eukaryota; Metazoa; Chordata; Mammalia; Carnivora; Canidae. The record is from RefSeq and is a predicted model, not a curated record. The transcript has 3 exons.